Molecule: ribosomal RNA, 449 nt
Filed under: uncultured bacterium
Lineage: Bacteria
Description: bacterial SSU rRNA
Rfam family: Bacterial small subunit ribosomal RNA
Source: RNAcentral
GAUGAACGCUGGCGACGUGCUUAACACAUGCAAGUCGAACGAAGCACUUUAUUUGAUUUCCUUCGGGACUGAUUAUUUUGUGACUGAGUGGCGGACGGGUGAGUAACGCGUGGGUAACCUGCCUUGUACAGGGGGAUAACAGUUGGAAACGACUGCUAAUACCGCAUAAGCGCACAGUAUCGCAUGAUGCAGUGUGAAAAACUCCGGUGGUAUAAGAUGGACCCGCGUUGGAUUAGCUAGUUGGUGAGGUAACGGCCCACCAAGGCGACGAUCCAUAGCCGACCUGAGAGGGUGACCGGCCACAUUGGGACUGAGACACGGCCCAAACUCCUACGGGAGGCAGCAGUGGGGAAUAUUGCACAAUGGGCGAAAGCCUGAUGCAGCGACGCCGCGUGAGCGAAGAAGUAUUUCGGUAUGUAAAGCUCUAUCAGCAGGGAAGAUAAUGACGG